AUAACGUUCAGCAGUUUACGGUGUGCUACAGCUGGUGCUCACCUUCUGUAGGCCUCAGCAAGAGGACGGUAUGUUCCGACAUCACGUUGAGAGCCUCCCCAUCCGGCGACAUCUCAACGUGCCACAUGCUAUUUCUCGCUUUUUAAAUACUUCACUCGUUGUUUAGCAAAAGGAGGCUAUUUCUGAUGUGGUCAGACUAUUGGCAUAUGGACUACAACGUUAUCGGCAGCUGGCAGGACUGUUCUUUUAGGGACAGCUGUGUUACAAGAAUCACCUUUCUCACCAUGGAUCACGGUAUUUGCAGUCUGAUCAGUUCCGCUAUUGUCCAUAACUGCUACA
Schistocerca americana (American grasshopper) is the source of this 339-nucleotide long non-coding RNA. RefSeq lists it as uncharacterized. Lineage: Eukaryota; Metazoa; Arthropoda; Insecta; Orthoptera; Acrididae. The record is from RefSeq and is a predicted model, not a curated record. The transcript has 3 exons.